GGGUAUGCGAGGAUCGAGGCUGAUUGCCAGCCAAGAGGAGUGUCUGUUGUUCAGGACCAAGAGGAAAUGUACACUGCGGCACUUAUGGCCCACGAACUUGGACACAGCCUUGGCUGUGAGCAUGAUGGCAAGGGUAACUCUUGUCCCGUAGGAGCAGGGUAUAACAUGGAGGCUGACUAUGUUGAUGACAAUGUAAGGAAGUGGCAAUUUUCUUCAUGUUCCGUGGACUAUAUAAAGAACUACAUUCAGUACUUAACAAC
Mya arenaria is the source of this 260-nucleotide long non-coding RNA. RefSeq lists it as uncharacterized. Lineage: Eukaryota; Metazoa; Mollusca; Bivalvia; Myida; Myidae. The record is from RefSeq and is a predicted model, not a curated record. The transcript is spliced from 3 exons.